Molecule: ribosomal RNA, 260 nt
Filed under: uncultured archaeon
Lineage: Archaea
Description: partial 16S ribosomal RNA
Rfam family: Archaeal small subunit ribosomal RNA
Source: RNAcentral
CAGCCGUAAACUAUGCUCGCUAGGUGUCAGGCAUGGUGCGACCGUGUCUGGUGCCGCAGGGAAGCCGUGAAGCGAGCCACCUGGGAAGUACGGCCGCAAGGCUGAAACUUAAGGAAUUGGCGGGGGAGCACAACAACGGGUGGAGCCUGCGGUUUAAUUGGACUCAACGCCGGACAACUCACCGGGAACGACAGCAAUAUGUAGGCCAGGCUGAAGACCUUGCCUGAAUCGCUGAGAGGAGGUGCAUGGCGUAGACGUCU